CCUACGGGCGGCAGCAGUGGGGAAUAUUGCACAAUGGGGGAAACCCUGAUGCAGCAACGCCGCGUGAGUGAAGAAGUCAUUCGUGAUGUAAAGCUCUAUCAGCAGGGAAGAAAAUGACGGUACCUGACUAAGAAGCCCCGGCUAACUACGUGCCAGCAGCCGCGGUAAUACGUAGGGGGCAAGCGUUAUCCGGAUUUACUGGGUGUAAAGGGAGCGUAGACGGCGAGACAAGUCUGAAGUGAAAUGCCAGUGCUCAACACUGGAACUGCUUUGGAAACUGCCUGGCUGGAGUGCGGGAGAGGUAAGUGGAAUUCCUAGUGUAGCGGUGAAAUGCGUAGAUAUUAGGAGGAACACCAGUGGCGAAGGCGGCGUACUGGACCGUAACUGACGUUGAGGCUCGAAGGCGUGGGGAGCAAACAGGAUUAGAUACCCGAGUAGUC
This 440-nucleotide ribosomal RNA is filed under the name Salmonella enterica subsp. enterica serovar Anatum. RNAcentral's name for it is "bacterial SSU rRNA". It matches the Rfam family "Bacterial small subunit ribosomal RNA", at positions 338 to 795 of the family's 1533-position model. The record is from RNAcentral. Lineage: Bacteria; Pseudomonadati; Pseudomonadota; Gammaproteobacteria; Enterobacterales; Enterobacteriaceae.